RNAcentral lists this ribosomal RNA (253 nucleotides) under uncultured bacterium. RNAcentral describes it as "partial 16S ribosomal RNA". It matches the Rfam family "Bacterial small subunit ribosomal RNA", at positions 524 to 776 of the family's 1533-position model. The record is from RNAcentral.
UACAGAGGAUGCAAGCGUUAUCCGGAAUGAUUGGGCGUAAAGCGCGCGCAGGCGGUCUUCCAAGUCAGUGGUGAAAGCCCGGAGCUCAACUCCGGAACUGCCAUUGAAACUGUGAGACUUGAGGAUGAGAGAGGUGAGUGGAAUUCCCAGUGUAGAGGUGAAAUUCGUAGAUAUUGGGAAGAACACCGGUGGCGAAGGCGGCGACCUGGUCCGAUACUGACGCUGAGGCGCGAAAGCGUGGGGAGCAAACAGG